UUUCCGUAGGUGAACCUGCGGAAGGAUCAUUAUUGAAUGAAACACUUCUGGCUUUAUGCUGUUGUGCUGGCCCUUUGGGCAAUGUGCACACGGCUCUGGUCACUUGUUUCUUCUGUUCCACCUGUGCACUGCCUGUAGACACGCUGUGUCUAUGAUAUUUGUUAACACACAACAAUGUUAGUUGGCAUGUUAUAUAUAAUAAUAAAGUAUACAACUUUCAACAACGGAUCUCUUGGCUCUC
Molecule: unclassified non-coding RNA, 241 nt
Filed under: plant metagenome
Description: partial contains small subunit ribosomal RNA, internal transcribed spacer 1, and 5.8S ribosomal RNA
Source: RNAcentral